RNAcentral lists this ribosomal RNA (405 nucleotides) under uncultured bacterium. RNAcentral describes it as "partial 16S ribosomal RNA". It matches the Rfam family "Bacterial small subunit ribosomal RNA", at positions 30 to 526 of the family's 1533-position model. The record is from RNAcentral.
AUUGAACGCUGGCGGCAGGCCUAACACCUGCAAGUCGAGCGAGCGGCGGACGGGUGAGUAAUGUAUGGGAAAAUGCCCAGUAGCGGGGGAUAACUCCUCGAAAGAGUGGCUAAUAACGCCUACUAUUGGAGGGGCCGAUAUCGGAUGAGCUAGUUGGUGGGGUAAAGGCCCACCAAGGCAACGAUCCGUAGCUGGUUUGAGAGGACGACCAGCCACACUGGGACUGAGACACGGCCCAGACUCCUACGGGAGGCAGCAGGGGGGAAUUUUGGACAAUGGGGGAAACCCUGAUCCAGCCAUCCCGCGUGUAUGAGAAGGCCUUCGGGUUGUAAAGUACUUUUCGCAGAGAAGCGGUAUCUGCAGAAUAAGCACCGGCUAACUACGUGCCAGCAGCCGCGGUAAUUC